AACGCGAAGAACCUUACCAGCUUUUGACAUGUCCAGUAUGGUCGCCAGAGAUGGCUUCCUUCCCGCAAGGGGCUGGAACACAGGUGCUGCAUGGCUGUCGUCAGCUCGUGUCGUGAGAUGUUGGGUUAAGUCCCGCAACGAGCGCAACCCUCGCCCUUAGUUGCCAUCAUUCAGUUGGGCACUCUAGGGGGACUGCCGGUGAUAAGCCGCGAGGAAGGUGGGGAUGACGUCAAGUCCUCAUGGCCCUUACAGGCUGGGCUACACACGUGCUACAAUGGCGGUGACAAUGGGAAGCGAAGGGGUGACCCGGAGCAAAUCUCCAAAAGCCGUCUCAGUUCGGAUUGCACUCUGCAACUCGAGUGCAUGAAGGGGAAUCGCUAGUAAUCGCAGAUCAGCACGCUGCGGUGAAUACGUUCCCGGGUCUUGUACACACCG
Molecule: ribosomal RNA, 435 nt
Filed under: uncultured bacterium
Lineage: Bacteria
Description: bacterial SSU rRNA
Rfam family: Bacterial small subunit ribosomal RNA
Source: RNAcentral